GUGUGUGGCUUCUAUGUAUGUAGGUGUUGAGUGUGUGGCGUCUGUGUAUGUAGGUAAUGGGUGUAAGGCUUCUGUGUAUGUAGGUGUUGAGUGUGUGGCUUCUGUGUAUGUAGGUAAUGAGUGUGUGGCUUCUGUGUAUGUAGGUGUUGAGUGUGUGGCUUCUGUGUAUGUAGGUGUUGAGUGUGUGGCUUCUGUGUAUGUAGGUGUUGAGUGUGUGGCUUCUGUGUAUGUAGGUGUUGAGUGUGUGACUUCUGUGUAUGUAGGUGUUGAAUGCAUGGCUUCUGUGUAUGUAGGUGUUGAAUGCAUGGCUUCUGUGUAUGUAGGUUUUGAAUGCAUGGCUUCUGUGUAUGUAGGUGUUGAAUACAUGGCUUCUGUGUAUGUAGGUUUUGAAUACAUGGCUUCUGUGUAUGUAGGUUUUGAAUACAUGGCUUCUGUGUAUGUAGGUGUUGAAUACAUGGCUUCUGUGUAUGUAGGUGUUGAAUGCAUGGCUUCUGUGUAUGUAGGUGUUGAAUGCACGGCUUCUGCGUAUGUAGGUAUUGAAUGCAUGGCUUCUGUAUAUGUAGGUGUUGAAUGCACGGCUUCUGUGUAUGUAGGUGUUGAAUACAUGGCUUCUGUGUAUGUAGAUGUUGAAUACAUGGCUUCUGUGUAUGUAGGUGUUGAAUACAUGGCUUCUGUGUAUGUAGGU
This is a long non-coding RNA of Haliotis rubra (blacklip abalone), 685 nucleotides long. RefSeq lists it as uncharacterized. The record is from RefSeq and is a predicted model, not a curated record. NCBI's taxonomy places the organism in Eukaryota, Metazoa, Mollusca, Gastropoda, Lepetellida, Haliotidae. The transcript has 5 exons.